GGCGGCGUGCCUAAUACAUGCAAGUCGAACGCAUUUUCUUUCACCGUAGCUUGCUACACCGGAAGAAAAUGAGUGGCGAACGGGUGAGUAACACGUGGGUAACCUGCCCAUCAGCGGGGGAUAACACUUGGAAACAGGUGCUAAUACCGCAUAAUUCCAUUUACCGCAUGGUAGAUGGAUGAAAGGCGCUUUUGCGUCACUGAUGGAUGGACCCGCGGUGCAUUAGCUAGUUGGUGGGGUAACGGCCUACCAAGGCUGCGAUGCAUAGCCGACCUGAGAGGGUGAUCGGCCACACUGGGACUGAGACACGGCCCAGACUCCUACGGGAGGCAGCAGUAGGGAAUCUUCGGCAAUGGACGCAAGUCUGACCGAGCAACGCCGCGUGAGUGAAGAAGGUUUUCGGAUCGUAAAACUCUGUUGUUAGAGAAGAACAAGGAUGAGAGUGGAAAGUUCAUCCCUUGACGGUAUCUAACCAGAAAGCCACGGCUAACUACGUGCCAGCAGCCGCGGUAAUACGUAGGUGGCAAGCGUUGUCCGGAUUUAUUGGGCGUAAAGCGAGCGCAGGCGGUCUUUUAAGUCUGAUGUGAAAGCCCCCGGCUUAACCGGGGAGGGUCAUUGGAAACUGGGAGACUUGAGUGCAGAAGAGGAAAGCGGAAUUCCAUGUGUAGCGGUGAAAUGCGUAGAUAUAUGGAGGAACACCAGUGGCGAAGGCGG
Molecule: ribosomal RNA, 714 nt
Filed under: Enterococcus cecorum
Lineage: Bacteria; Bacillati; Bacillota; Bacilli; Lactobacillales; Enterococcaceae
Description: bacterial SSU rRNA
Rfam family: Bacterial small subunit ribosomal RNA
Source: RNAcentral